GACGAACGCUGGCGGCGUGCCUAAUACAUGCAAGUCGAGCGGAAUGAAGAAGAAGCUUGCUUCUUCUGAUUUUAGCGGCGGACGGGUGAGUAACACGUGGGCAACCUACCUUGUAGAUUGGGAUAACUCCGGGAAACCGGGGCUAAUACCGAAUAAUCCAUUUUGCUUCAUGGCGAGAUGUUAAAAGGCGGCUUCGGCUGUCACUACGAGAUGGGCCCGCGGCGCAUUAGCUAGUUGGUAGGGUAAUGGCCUACCAAGGCGACGAUGCGUAGCCGACCUGUGAGGGUGAUCGGCCACACUGGGACUGAGACACGGCCCAGACUCCUACGGGAGGCAGCAGUAGGGAAUCUUCCACAAUGGACGAAAGUCUGAUGGAGCAACGCCGCGUGAGUGAAGAAGGUUUUCGGAUCGUAAAACUCUGUUGUAAGGGAAGAACACGUACGAGAGUAACUGCUCGUACCUUGACGGUACCUUAUUAGAAAGCCACGGCUAACUACGUG
This 500-nucleotide ribosomal RNA is filed under the name uncultured bacterium. RNAcentral describes it as "bacterial SSU rRNA". It matches the Rfam family "Bacterial small subunit ribosomal RNA", at positions 28 to 507 of the family's 1533-position model. The record is from RNAcentral.